AAUAGGAUGAAAUGGUUGGUUUUCGAAACUUAAGGACCCAAAACGACAUUUACUGUUCUUUUACGUUUCUUCCACAUCGAGCUCAGUGAGAAGUUUGCAGCAGAAUAAGAACAGUAGCGAAGCAAUGGAGUUCGUCCCUUCGGGGACAUCCGAUAAAAUUGGAACGAUACAGAGAAGAUUAGCAUGGCCCCUGCGCAAGGAUGACACGCACAAAUCGAGAAAUGGUCCAAAUUUUUUUGCCGGUCGUCGGCGCUGAUGCUCCGUUGGUCAAUCAUUUUAGUUUAGAUGGUGAAUCGUGCACCGGUCAGAACAAAUAAUUCAGCCUUCAUUGCUAUGAUUGCUGAUGAGGGAAAUUGGAAUUUCAAAUUCAUGUUCUCAUUGCGUACUUGCAAACUGGUUAAUGUAGGAUACAAUCACUGGAUUUUUUACUAGCAGGAGUUGGCAAUGUUGAUUCGAGGAGGGAAAUUAACUAUCUUAUUGUCUAUUCAAAAAUAGCGGUGAAGCAGAUUGAAGAUGCUUUUAAAGAAUUCAUCACAAGGGAGAACAUUGGGCAAUAGUGUUAAUCAGCCAAUAUAGAGAAGACUCGUUGGACAGUGAAAAAGGAUGCUGGUGUUGACUUCUCUAUCGAUGAAGUGAUAGCAGUAAUGAAGGAUGGAACGAUUAGAAUUGGGCUGAAUACUGGAGGAGGUGUAGCUACAUUUGCUGUAAGAAUGAGAAAAAGGAGCAUAACGAUUAUAUCGACUUCAAUGAAACUUUGAACAUUAGCAUCUCACAAAGACUUAUCGACAACAUGUUGGAUACCAAUGACACUUUUACACUGUUGUUUUUUGAUAUUUUACAGGGUGUUAAGGCCUGGUGUGCUGUUUUGGCUACUUCUUCUGUGUUGGUUGAGCAAUUGGAGAAAGUGUAUGCACCACUUAUCGAUGGGAUUAUGUAUCUUUCAGCAUUGUUGGAAAGCCAUUGAAGUAUUCUUGGAUUGGAAUUAGAAGUAGGCGAUCCCCCUAUGAUCGUUCUUCCAGAAGACGACAACACGAUCAUCCCUUCGUUUUGGGAUUACAAGCCACAAUUUCUCCACACAGUAACUCUCACAAUGGCGGAAUUACAAUUAUUAACGUCAGUAGUCGCGAUUUAGUGGAAAGGGCCUUAAUGCAGCAACAUGUACAAGACUAUUUCAAUGGCGGAUUAUCACCAAAUUCUUCAGAUGAUUCUCAACCAGCAAGUGAACUGUUUGAUGAUCAACGGGCUUACACAGAGGAGAAAGAGGAUGAUGCUAUAUUAUUGGGGUAUUUUAAAACAAGAAUUCAUUGUGUUGCUGAUGGUGUAAAUAAUCCCACAGAAACUAAAGAGAUUUGUGCCAUAUGUCAAGCAGAAUUUGAGCAUGAAGAGUCCAUUGGGACACUUGGGUGUGGUCACGAAUAUCAUACGGGCUGCAUCAAACAAUGGCUGUUGAGGAAAAAAGAUUGUCCCAUGUGUCGAGCUUCUGUUUUGCCCUGAAUACAUAGCAUAUAGAGAUUGUUUAUUAUGAAAUUCUCUUGUAUUAAUCUCAAGUUGUGGAUGUAACGCACUAUACAUUUUUUAUACAUACAAGAACAAUUUGUUUGAUAUCCUAAAUAUUGUUAAGAAA
Long non-coding RNA from Solanum tuberosum (potato), 1624 nucleotides. RefSeq lists it as uncharacterized. Lineage: Eukaryota; Viridiplantae; Streptophyta; Magnoliopsida; Solanales; Solanaceae. The record is from RefSeq and is a predicted model, not a curated record. The transcript has 6 exons.